This 241-nucleotide ribosomal RNA is filed under the name uncultured bacterium. RNAcentral's name for it is "partial 16S ribosomal RNA". It matches the Rfam family "Bacterial small subunit ribosomal RNA", at positions 536 to 776 of the family's 1533-position model. The record is from RNAcentral.
AAGCGUUGUUCGGAAUUACUGGGCGUAAAGGGUUCGUAGGUGGCCAACUAAGUCAGACGUGAAAUCCCUCAGCUUAACUGGGGAACUGCGUCUGAGACUGGAUGGCUUGAGUGCAGGAGAGGAACGCGGAAUUCCAGGUGUGGCGGUGAAAUGCGUAGAUAUCUGGAGGAACACCGGUGGCGAAGGCGGCGUUCUGGACUGCUACUGACACUGAGGAACGAAAGCCAGGGGAGCAAACGGG